This is a long non-coding RNA of Vespula vulgaris, 610 nucleotides long. RefSeq lists it as uncharacterized. The transcript has 3 exons. The record is from RefSeq and is a predicted model, not a curated record. NCBI's taxonomy places the organism in Eukaryota, Metazoa, Arthropoda, Insecta, Hymenoptera, Vespidae.
GGUGUCUCACAAGAUCGUGCCGAUGGGAGAAAUUAUUAAAAGUUUUCAUAAAACUAAAAUACGGAAUUAACACGAAAUAAAAAUGUCUGAAGAGCACUGAAAGUAUCUUUCCUUGACUACCGUGAGCGUGCUUGAUUGAUCCACAUGGAUGUAACGAGAUGACCGGAAUGCUCACAUUGUUUAAACACAUAUGUAAUAUAAGCAAGAACGAGCAUGGAUUCCUAGCAAUGCCACGGGACCAGGAUUAAGCAAAAGUAAAUAUUCAAUUAUAUCUAAAAUUACGUCCAAAUCAUUACGUUUGAUCGUUUAACGACGCGAAUGUAUCUAUAUAAGUGAAUUUACAUUUGUAUUUUCAUCUUCUUUUUCUAUUUAUCUUUAUACUCGUGAAUGUGUGAAUCAGAUUAAUUAACCCUAUACACACACACACACACACAUGUAGAGAUACACAUACAGAACAUGUGUUGAUAUGUUUUAAUUAUUACGAAUGUUUAAACGGAAAACCUCUCUAUAUGUAGGAUGUAUUUAGGGUUAAUAGAUGUAUAUAUAUGUAUAAGUAUAUAAGUGUGUAUAUGUGUGUAUAAUCAUAAAAAUACAUAUAUACAUGUGUGUG